This 301-nucleotide ribosomal RNA is filed under the name uncultured bacterium. RNAcentral describes it as "partial 16S ribosomal RNA". It matches the Rfam family "Bacterial small subunit ribosomal RNA", at positions 509 to 807 of the family's 1533-position model. The record is from RNAcentral.
CAGCAGCCGCGGUAAUACGUAGGGUGCAAGCGUUAAUCGGAAUUACUGGGCGUAAAGCGUGCGCAGGCGGUUAUAUAAGUCAGAUGUGAAAUCCCCGGGCUUAACCUGGGAACUGCGCUUGUGACUGCACAGCUAGAGUAUGGCAGAGGGGGGUGGAAUUCCACGUGUAGCAGUGAAAUGCGUAGAGAUGUGGAGGAACACCGAUGGCGAAGGCAGCCCCCUGGGCCAAUACUGACGCUCAUGCACGAAAGCGUGGGGAGCGAACAGGAUUAGAUACCCGAGUAGUCCCUGUCUCUUAUAC